This 253-nucleotide ribosomal RNA is filed under the name uncultured bacterium. RNAcentral describes it as "partial 16S ribosomal RNA". It matches the Rfam family "Bacterial small subunit ribosomal RNA", at positions 524 to 776 of the family's 1533-position model. The record is from RNAcentral.
UACGGAGGAUCCAAGCGUUAUCCGGACUUAUUGGGUUUAAAGGGUGCGUAGGCGGAUUGAUAAGUUAGAGGUGAAAUGUCCGAGCUCAACUCGGGAACUGCCUCUAAUACUGUUGAUCUAGAGAGUAGAUGCGGUAGGCGGAAUGUAUGGUGUAGCGGUGAAAUGCUUAGAGAUCAUACAGAACACCGAUUGCGAAGGCAGCUUACCAAUCUAUAUCUGACGUUGAGGCACGAAAGCGUGGGGAGCAAACAGG